GGCCAGACUCCUACGGGAGGCAGCAGUGAGGAAUAUUGGUCAAUGGGCGGGAGCCUGAACCAGCCAAGUCGCGUGAGGGAAGACGGUCCUACGGAUUGUAAACCUCUUUUGCCGGGGAGCAAGGGCGGGGACGUGUCCCGGCCCGGAGAGUACCCGGAGAAAAAGCAUCGGCUAACUCCGUGCCAGCAGCCGCGGUAAUACGGAGGAUGCGAGCGUUAUCCGGAUUUAUUGGGUUUAAAGGGUGCGUAGGCGGGCUUUAAGUCAGCGGUAAAAAUUCGGGGCUCAACCCCGGCCUGCCGUCGGAACUGGGUGCCUUGAGUGGGCGAGAAGUAUGCGGAAUGCGUGGUGUAGCGGUGAAAUGCAUAGAUAUCACGCAGAACCCCGAUUGCGAAGGCAGCAUACCGGCGCCCUACUGACGCUGAGGCACGAAAGUGCGGGUAUCGAACAGGAUUAGAUCCCCCUGUA
This 465-nucleotide ribosomal RNA is filed under the name uncultured bacterium. RNAcentral's name for it is "bacterial SSU rRNA". It matches the Rfam family "Bacterial small subunit ribosomal RNA", at positions 329 to 792 of the family's 1533-position model. The record is from RNAcentral.